Molecule: long non-coding RNA, 1092 nt
Filed under: Salmo salar (Atlantic salmon)
Lineage: Eukaryota; Metazoa; Chordata; Actinopteri; Salmoniformes; Salmonidae
Description: lncRNA (ENSSSAG00000094822.1)
Rfam family: UnaL2 LINE 3' element (bases 267-320)
Source: RNAcentral
CUGGCCUGCUCGCCUCCCUACCUCUGAGGAAGCACAGUUCCCGCUCAGCCCAGUCAAAACUGUUCGCUGCUCUGGCACCCCAAUGGUGGAACAAGCUCCCUCACGACGCCAGGACAGCGGAGUCAAUCACCACCUUCCGGAGACACCUGAAACCCCACCUCUUCAAGGAAUACCUGGGAUAGGAUAAAGUAAUCCUUCUAACCCCCCCCUUAAAAGAUUUAGAUGCACUAUUGUAAAGUGGUUGUUCCACUGGAUAUUAUAAGGUGAAUGCACCAAUUUGUAAGUUGCUCUGGAUAAGAGCGUCUGCUAAAUGACUAAAAUGUAAAAUGUAAGAGAGGUCAGGAGAGGUGAAGAGAGGUCAGGAGGGGUGAGAGAGGUCAGGAGGGGUGAGAGAGGUCAGGGGGUGUGAAGAGAGUGGUCAGGAAAGAGUGGAAGGUUAAAGACUGGUGAGAUAGCGGAGAUCAGAGGAGAGAAGAGAGGAUGAGAGAUGUGAAUGUUGUCAGGGAAGUGGUGCGUUCAGCAUAGCUGUCAUUCAGCUGAAUUCUGGGUUCUGGCCCCGCUCAGGAAGGCAAGAGCUGGUGAAACAGACAAGCGCUGGGAGGCGUGGGAGGAAAGAGGUAGAGAGAGAGAGGAAAGGAGGGAGGUGGAGAGGAAGAGGGAGAGGGAGAGAGAGAGGAAAGGAAAGGAGGGAGAUGGAGAGGCAGAGGGAGAGGGAGAAAGAGAGAGGAAAAAAGGGAGAUGGAAAGAGAGAGGAAAGGAGGGAGAUGGAGAGAGAGAGGAACGGAGGGAGAUGGAGAUGCAGAGGGAGAGAGAGAGAGGAAAGGAGGGAGAUGGAGAUGCAGAGGGAGAGAGAGAGAGGAACGGAGGGAGAUGGAGAGAGAGAGGAACGGAGGGAGAUGCAGAGGGAGAGAGAGAGAGGAACGGAGGGAGAUGGAGAUGCAGAGGGAGAGAGAAAAUAGCUGAAGGUUAUCUGUGGCAUGAUUCAGCAAUUGGGCCUCGAGGUCCAAACUCAUCUGAGACUGUGGCUGUCUAUGGAGAUAGUGGAAGAUCACACACACACACACACACACACACACACACACACACACACAC